This 295-nucleotide long non-coding RNA is filed under the name Arachis ipaensis. RNAcentral's name for it is "long non-coding RNA (AIPA_LNC001340)". The record is from RNAcentral. Lineage: Eukaryota; Viridiplantae; Streptophyta; Magnoliopsida; Fabales; Fabaceae.
CUGGGUUUCUACCUCACAUACACACAAACUGAAAAACACAAGCUUCCCUCUCUCUCUUCUUCUCAAAGUUUCAAACUUUGAUAAUCAAAGUCCCCAAUUCCAUCAUCAAUUCUCAAACUCACUAUGACUAAACAUUUUUCCUUAACUUAGUACUCAGAACCUUCUCCGUUGCCAUGCCCUCCCGCCAACUCCUCCCACCGCCGCCUUCCCCCGUGGACUUCCAGAAACUAACACCCAAGCUCCCUCACCGCCGCCACCACCACCACCGCAGUAUCCUUCUUCCGCUUAUCANNNN